This 396-nucleotide ribosomal RNA is filed under the name uncultured bacterium. RNAcentral's name for it is "bacterial SSU rRNA". It matches the Rfam family "Bacterial small subunit ribosomal RNA", at positions 30 to 429 of the family's 1533-position model. The record is from RNAcentral.
AUUGAACGCUGGCGGCAUGCCUUACACAUGCAAGUCGAACGGCAGCACGGGAGCAAUCCUGGUGGCGAGUGGCGAACGGGUGAGUAAUAUAUCGGAACGUGCCCAGUCGUGGGGAUAACGUAGCGAAAGCUACGCUAAUACCGCAUACUAUCUAUGGAUGAAAGCGGGGGAUCGCAAGACCUCGCGCGAUUGGAGCGGCCGAUAUCAGAUUAGGUAGUUGGUGAGGUAAAGGCUCACCAAGCCGACGAUCUGUAGCUGGUCUGAGAGGACGACCAGCCACACUGGGACUGAGACACGGCCCAGACUCCUACGGGAGGCAGCAGUGGGGAAUUUUGGACAAUGGGCGCAAGCCUGAUCCAGCAAUGCCGCGUGCAGGAUGAAGGCCUUCGGUGUAAC